AGAACGAACGCUGGCGGCAGGCUUAACACAUGCAAGUCGAACGCUCGUAGCAAUACGGGAGUGGCAGACGGGUGAGUAACGCGUGGGAACAUACCCUCCGGUUCGGAAUAGCUCAGGGAAACUUGGAUUAAUACCGGAUACGGCUGAGAGGCGAAAGAUUUAUCGCCGGAGGAUUGGCCCGCGUUCGAUUAGCUUGUUGGUGAGGUAACGGCUCACCAAGGCGAUGAUCGAUAGCUGGUCUGAGAGGAUGAUCAGCCACAUUGGGACUGAGACACGGCCCAAACUCCUACGGGAGGCAGCAGUGGGGAAUAUUGGACAAUGGGCGCAAGCCUGAUCCAGCCAUGCCGCGUGAGUGAUGACGGCCUUAGGGUUGUAAAGCUCUUUCGCUCGGGACGAUAAUGACGGUACCGAGAUAAGAACGCCCGGCUAACUUCGCGCCAGCAGCCGC
RNAcentral lists this ribosomal RNA (448 nucleotides) under uncultured bacterium. RNAcentral's name for it is "SSU rRNA". It matches the Rfam family "Bacterial small subunit ribosomal RNA", at positions 26 to 518 of the family's 1533-position model. The record is from RNAcentral.